CCAAAGUCCUGGCACAAGACGGAAAGGUGGCGGUCCGCCAGGUUUCAGCCGGACAUUCCCCGGUUAAAGCCCCCUUCAGGAGGAGGAGAGGGCUAGAAGAAGGCGUGCAACCGAAAUCCGCCGAGACUAAAGGGGUGACACCACUGCAUAAGGAAAGCUCCCCAGCACAGCACUUUACUCAGAAGAGGAAGGAAAAUGUGGAGAGAAUGGCUGGGACACAGGCAGAGGGAGAAGCAGGCUCCAUACAGGGAACCUGACAUGGGACUCCAUCCCCGGAUCUCCAGGAUCACACUCCAGGCUGUAGGCGGCGCUAAACCGCUGCACCACCGGGGCUGCCCCCAUGGUUUCAUUUUAAUUUGAACUGAGAUACUCACAUGUGGUUUAUGGCUACCAACCAUAUUGGAUAGUACAGAUCAAGAAAGAGGAAGUGAUGUGAAUGGAUACAUGAGUUGGGGCAGAGUGUUCCAAACAAGUGUCCUGUGACUGCCUUGGGAAAGAAAACAGAUGGGGAGCAAGGUGUAAAAUAAA
Canis lupus familiaris (dog) is the source of this 528-nucleotide long non-coding RNA. RefSeq lists it as uncharacterized. The transcript has 3 exons. Lineage: Eukaryota; Metazoa; Chordata; Mammalia; Carnivora; Canidae. The record is from RefSeq and is a predicted model, not a curated record.